RNAcentral lists this ribosomal RNA (433 nucleotides) under uncultured bacterium. Its description in RNAcentral is "partial 16S ribosomal RNA". It matches the Rfam family "Bacterial small subunit ribosomal RNA", at positions 29 to 507 of the family's 1533-position model. The record is from RNAcentral.
AACGAACGCUGGCGGCAGGCCUAACACAUGCAGGUCGAGCGCGCCCUUCGGGGUGAGCGGCGGACGGGUGAGUAACGCGUGGGAACGUGCCCUUCUCUGCGGAAUAGCCUCGGGAAACUGAGAGUAAUACCGCAUACGCCCUUUGGGGGAAAGAUUUAUCGGAGAAGGAUCGGCCCGCGUUGGAUUAGGUAGUUGGUGGGGUAAUGGCCCACCAAGCCGACGAUCCAUAGCUGGUUUGAGAGGAUGAUCAGCCACACUGGGACUGAGACACGGCCCAGACUCCUACGGGAGGCAGCAGUGGGGAAUCUUAGACAAUGGGGGCAACCCUGAUCUAGCCAUGCCGCGUGAGUGAUGAAGGCCUUAGGGUUGUAAAGCUCUUUCAGCUGGGAAGAUAAUGACGGUACCAGCAGAAGAAGCCCCGGCUAACUCCGUG